AGUGACUAAUGCAAAUGAAGCUAAAAUAAACUUCACAAUAACACCCAGAAAUCCAGUUUCGCACUCCAACGAGGGCUUAUUAGAGUCACGUGUAUCUAAUUAACUACGUAAAUAUAUUUAGAAGCACUGAAACCAGCAUUAAACACAGAAUAAGAUGACUGUAUAUCUAAACAAUGCCUAAACAGGUUAGCAAAGUAAUAUUUACAUUGUAGCACGCAUUUAGCACUUUGUUUCACUUAUGCGCGCAACCAUGUGUUAAAGUGCGGUCUCAGUUCAGUGAAUCCGGUCAGACAGGAAGCAACAUCACCACUGGGCUGAGCAGCUUCCAAAAAAACAACAACAAAAAAAAAGCUUUCCGUUACUCUGUUUUCACUCUUUAUUCUGAUCUGUGUUCCAUAUCCGUGCAAUGACAAGUUUAAGUAACUUAGACCAAAGUAACAGAUAAAUGCUUGUAUGCAAAUUGUAAUUUUAGUAACAUGUGAUCUAAAUUCAACAUCGUUUUUCUCUGUGACACUUCGUCACACAGACAAGCAACUAACAGGUUCAUUUCUUAUGAGCUCCAUCUCCCUGCAAUAAAUACUUAAAGAGCAAUUCAGUUUUUACGAUCAACAAUUUCCCUGAGGUUUCCACUAAAGGGAUCAAUAAAGUUCUAUUCUAUUCUAUUCUAUUCUAACUAAAAAGAAGGGAUGUGCAAUUAGAUGCAAAGUGCAUUAGUCAUAUUCAAAAGAUUAAAGGGUUUUAUUUUCUCUCAUGAGAUCCUCACAGAGUCGAAUUAACACACAGUUGAUCAUUUGCAGAACAAGUUUGGAAAGUGUAAUAUUUUAUUGACUUACAGUCGGUUGUGUUGGACAGUCAAAAUGCUGAUGGUGUUAAAAUGUUGAAAGAGUCUGUGCACACGCCAGCAACAUUCACUUCCCUGCAGCAAAUUGAAAAGAGUUACAUUUUGGGUGUUGGUGAAAUUUGAGCAAGAGUGGAGUUAAUUUUACUCUAGAUAGAGUCAAACCCCUUAUAUUUAACUCUGAGUUGACAAGUACUUGGUGUCAAAACAGAAUGUCAAAGCCGAGUGUCUUUAGAUCAAAUCUGCAAGUGUGAUUGUUGUAACAUCAACGCUGAACAUUUCACUCUGAACUCUAAACCUGACCAAGACUCUACCAGUGGAACUCAACUCUGCCCCUUGGUCUCACGAACUGAACGUCUCAACUGAAGCUGAACCGAAGGAGUCUGAAAACUGUGUUUGAGCUUGUUAAAGCUUGCUUCUUCUUUGCAUUUUUCAAUCCUUCUCUCUCCAUUAGUCUGUCCCCUCCGCCCGUUUAAUGGAGUCACUACCACCGGAACUCAGGAACAUUAAUUAAUUCAUCCUGUUAAAAGCCAAACUCAAAACUCACCUGUCUAGGACUGCUUAUCCCACCUUAAUGCAGCUACUUUGUCUGUUUUUACCCUAAUUUAUUACCUUGGUAUUUAACUGUGUUUUCUUUUGUUUCUGUACUUCGAUACUUACUGUAUUUGUUUCGUAAAAUGUGCUUGGGUGUCAUGUUAAGCGCUUGUACUCAAAUAAAAUGCAUUGUUGUUAUUA
Molecule: long non-coding RNA, 1573 nt
Organism: Stegastes partitus (bicolor damselfish)
Lineage: Eukaryota; Metazoa; Chordata; Actinopteri; Pomacentridae
Exons: 2
Source: RefSeq, a predicted model, not a curated record